Molecule: ribosomal RNA, 497 nt
Filed under: uncultured bacterium
Lineage: Bacteria
Description: partial 16S ribosomal RNA
Rfam family: Bacterial small subunit ribosomal RNA
Source: RNAcentral
GAUGAACGCUGGCGGCGUGCCUAAUACAUGCAAGUCGAGCGAACGGACGAGAAGCUUGCUUCUCGGAUGUUAGCGGCGGACGGGUGAGUAACACGUGGAUAACCUACCUAUAAGACUGGGAUAACUUCGGGAAACCGGAGCUAAUACCGUAUAAUAUUUUGAACCGCAUGGGUCAAAAGUGAAAGACGGUCUUGCUGUCACUUAUAGAUGGAUCCGCGCUGCAUUAGCUAGUUGGUAAGGUAACGGCUUACUAAGGCAACGAUGCAUAGACGACCUGAGAGGGGGAUCGGCGGCACUGGAACGGGGACGCGGUCAAGACUCCUGAGGGAGGGAGCAGUAGGCAAUGUGACGCAAUGGGGGAAAGCCUGGCGGAGCAAGGCGGCGUGAGUGAUGAAGGUGUUCGGAUCGUAAAGCUGUGUUAUUGGGGAAGAACAUAUGUGGAAGUUGAUGAGGAGAUCGUGACGGUAACUAGUAAGAAAGCACCGGCUAACUACGUG